Schizosaccharomyces pombe (fission yeast) is the source of this 809-nucleotide non-coding RNA. NCBI's taxonomy places the organism in Eukaryota, Fungi, Ascomycota, Schizosaccharomycetes, Schizosaccharomycetales, Schizosaccharomycetaceae. The record is from the annotation of a GenBank genome assembly.
CACGAGGGACACCACCAUACACACAUGUGUUGCGAAUUCGGGAUGAUUUGCCAAAUUUAGUACAUUCUUGCUGAAUUUGGACAGCUAAUUCACGCGUUGGAGCAAGAACGAGUACAAUUGGACCAUCGCCUGGAGAAAGUAGUGGUUGGGCAUUAAUAUGUACGAUAGCAGGAAGACAAUAAGAAAGUGUCUUACCAGAACCCGUAGCUGAAAUGCCUACCAUAUCUCUACCAGACAUAGCCAUCGGCCAUGCUUGUUGUUGGAUAGGAGUAGGAGCUUCGAACCCCAAUUGUUUGACUUCCUUUAGUACAUAGUUAGGAAAACCAGCCUCUUCAAAUGUCGUAACAGGUUUAGGAACAUUUAAUCCAUGCACGACAAUUUCUUUUUCUUUACGGUAUUCGGUGACUUCAGCGUCUGAACGAUUGCGAACAUUUUCAUGUUCUUUAUAAAAAUCUUUUUGAAACGGAAUCAAAGUUUCAUUUUUCCAAUCCUUCUUUACCAAAUUAGCACCGGGACCAUCUGACUCGUAAAAAUUUCUUCCUUGUCCUCGUUGAUCGUAGCCAUAAGAAGCGCCAUCAUUGAAACCUCCACGACCGCCGCCACGACUAUAGUUAUUGCGGUAUCCGCCACCAUAACGACUGUAAAAUGUUAAUAUUAAUUAUUUUAAAAAAAAAGGUAAAUCAGUAUCAAUAAUUUUGUACUGAACAGGGGCACGCCCAAUUGUGAAUUCUUACCCUCUGCUGUUAUAGCCAUCCUCUUUUCCAUUGUAAUUUCCACUAUAUUCGUUAUCUCUGUAAGACAUUAUGAUU